GACGAACGCUGGCGGCGUGCCUAAUACAUGCAAGUAGAACGCACAGUUUAUACCGUAGCUUGCUACACCAUAAACUGUGAGUUGCGAACGGGUGAGUAACGCGUAGGUAACCUGCCUGGUAGCGGGGGAUAACUAUUGGAAACGAUAGCUAAUACCGCAUAAUAUUGAUUAUUGCAUGAUAAUUGAUUGAACGAUGCUAUUGCAUCACUACCAGAUGGACCUGCGUUGUAUUAGCUAGUAGGUGAGGUAACGGCUCACCUAGGCGACGAUACAUAGCCGACCUGAGAGGGUGAUCGGCCACACUGGGACUGAGACACGGCCAAGACUCCUACGGGAGGCAGCAGUAGGGAAUCUUCGGCAAUGGACGAAAGUCUGACCGAGCAACGCCGCGGGAGUGAAGAAGGUUUUCGGAUCGUAAAGCUCUGUUGUAAGAGAAGAACGGGUGUGAGAGUGGAAAGUUCACACUGUGACGGUAUCUUACCAGAAAGGGACGGCUAACUACGUG
Molecule: ribosomal RNA, 505 nt
Filed under: uncultured bacterium
Lineage: Bacteria
Description: partial 16S ribosomal RNA
Rfam family: Bacterial small subunit ribosomal RNA
Source: RNAcentral